UGACAGUACUCCACGGGGAGGCAGCAGUGGGGAAUAUUGCACAAUGGGGGAAACCCUGAUGCAGCCAUGCCGCGUGUGUGAAGAAGGCCUUCGGGUUGUAAAGCACUUUCAGUAGGGAGGAAGGUAGUGUAGUUAACACCUGCAUUAUUUGACGUUACCUACAGAAGAAGCACCGGCUAACUCCGUGCCAGCAGCCGCGGUAAUACGGAGGGUGCGAGCGUUAAUCGGAAUUACUGGGCGUAAAGCGCAUGCAGGCGGCCUGUUAAGUCAGAUGUGAAAGCCCGGGGCUUAACCUCGGAAUUGCAUUUGAAACUGGCAGGCUAGAGUCUUGUAGAGGGGGGUAGGAAUUUCAGGUGUAGCGGUGAAAUGCGUAGAGAUCUGAAGGAAUACCAGUGGCGAAGGCGGCCCCCUGGACAAAGACUGACGCUCAGAUGCGAAAGCGUGGGGAGCAAACAGGAUUAGAUACCCUGGUAG
Molecule: ribosomal RNA, 474 nt
Filed under: uncultured bacterium
Lineage: Bacteria
Description: bacterial SSU rRNA
Rfam family: Bacterial small subunit ribosomal RNA
Source: RNAcentral